UUCAACUGUACUGAGAAAUGGAAAAAGUCAGUUGGCCAAGCAAAAGUGCUAAGAGCAGAGAGGAGUCAAGAAUCCUCAUGGGCUUCCAGUGCCUGGUUCAAGGUGUCAGGAUCUAUACAGCCUGGCUUCUCUACUGCCUGAAGGGAAAUGAGACAAGCAGGACUAAGUGGAAACCCAGAUAAGAGACCCGAUGCUCUGAAAUGUGUCUGAAGCCCCCAAUCUGGCAUUCUGACCCCAAAGCAUAUACCUUUUCACCAUCUAAGCAUUUGUUAUGGCUGCCAAGCACUGUCCACCAAACUCAGACUCUGGGCUGACCAAUAAAACUGCUAACCCCAA
Long non-coding RNA from Homo sapiens (human), 336 nucleotides. Ensembl annotates it as ARHGEF3 antisense RNA 1. Its record names the gene ARHGEF3-AS1. The record is from Ensembl. NCBI's taxonomy places the organism in Eukaryota, Metazoa, Chordata, Mammalia, Primates, Hominidae.